This is a non-coding RNA of Mesoplasma florum L1, 408 nucleotides long. It matches the Rfam family "transfer-messenger RNA". Rfam says of the family: Bacterial tmRNA, also known as 10Sa RNA or SsrA, is named for its dual tRNA and mRNA-like properties. Its role is to liberate the mRNA from a stalled ribosome. The record is from Rfam. NCBI's taxonomy places the organism in Bacteria, Bacillati, Mycoplasmatota, Mollicutes, Entomoplasmatales, Entomoplasmataceae.
GGGGAUGUCCUGGUUUCGACAGGAUACUCUGGUCAUAUAAUAGCAGUGGUGUGGUAGACCAUAAUACUUCUAGGUUUGAUAAAAUGCAAACAAAAACGAAGAAAACACAAACGAAGUUCCAACAUUUAUGUUAAAUGCUGGACAAGCAAAUUACGCUUUCGCUUAAUUUGACUUAAAUACAAAUAUACGUUUGGCAAUUUUUAAUAGUCUUGGAAUCUGUUAAUUAUUGUACAUACCAAUUCCAAUAGAAAUUAUGAUCGUAAUAAAUAAUUUUGAAACUCAAUUACGGAUGUUAUAUUAGUCUUUUGAUAAUUUUAUUUAAUAUAGCAAAUUAGAAAAUUAUCUAAACUGUAGAAUUUAUAUGAUUCGGUAUUUUGGACGUGGGUUCGAUUCCCACCAUCUCCACCA